Molecule: ribosomal RNA, 207 nt
Filed under: uncultured bacterium
Lineage: Bacteria
Description: partial 16S ribosomal RNA
Rfam family: Bacterial small subunit ribosomal RNA
Source: RNAcentral
CUCGUAGGCGGUUUGUCGCGUCGGGAGUGAAAACACCGGGCUUAACUCGGUGCUUGCUUUCGAUACGGGCAGACUAGAGGCAUGCAGGGGAGAACGGAAUUCCUGGUGUAGCGGUGAAAUGCGCAGAUAUCAGGAGGAACACCGGUGGCGAAGGCGGUUCUCUGGGCAUGUCCUGACGCUGAGGAGCGAAAGUGUGGGGAGCGAACA